GCACUCGUAGCUCAGUUGGAUAGAGUACAGCCCUCCGAAGGCUGGGGUCGCAGGUUCGACUCCUGCCGGGUGCACCA
Molecule: transfer RNA, 77 nt
Filed under: Pseudobdellovibrionaceae bacterium
Lineage: Bacteria; Pseudomonadati; Bdellovibrionota; Bdellovibrionia; Bdellovibrionales; Pseudobdellovibrionaceae
Description: tRNA-Arg
Rfam family: tRNA
About the family: Transfer RNA (tRNA) molecules are approximately 80 nucleotides in length. Their secondary structure includes four short double-helical elements and three loops (D, anti-codon, and T loops).
Source: RNAcentral